AAGUCGUAACAAGGUUUCCGUAGGUGAACCUGCGGAAGGAUCAUUAAAAAAUGAGGUAUUUUAUGCCUCGUAUUUAAAACCCAACUCAUAUAUAAAUUUUUAAUAAAAAAAAAAGAAACUUUCAACAAUGGAUCUCUUGGCUCUC
Molecule: unclassified non-coding RNA, 145 nt
Filed under: fungal sp.
Lineage: Eukaryota; Fungi
Description: partial internal transcribed spacer region
Rfam family: Eukaryotic small subunit ribosomal RNA (bases 1-46)
Source: RNAcentral